Molecule: ribosomal RNA, 1000 nt
Filed under: Aggregatibacter actinomycetemcomitans
Lineage: Bacteria; Pseudomonadati; Pseudomonadota; Gammaproteobacteria; Pasteurellales; Pasteurellaceae
Description: bacterial SSU rRNA
Rfam family: Bacterial small subunit ribosomal RNA
Source: RNAcentral
CAUGCAAGUCGGACGGUAGCAGGUAAGUACUUGUACUUAUGCUGACGAGUGGCGGACGUGAGAGUAAUGCUUGGGAAUCUGUCUUAUGGAGGGGGAUAACGACGGGAAACUGUCGCUAAUACCGCGUAGAAUCGGGAGAUGAAAGUGUGGGACCUUCGGGCCACAUGCCAUAGGAUGAGCCCAAGUGUGAUUAGGUAGUUGGUGGGGUAAAGGCCUACCAAGCCGACGAUCGCUAGCUGGUCUGAGAGGAUGGCCAGCCACACCGGGACUGAGACACGGCCCGGACUCCUACGGGAGGCAGCAGUGGGGAAUAUUGCGCAAUGGGGGCAACCCUGACGCAGCCAUGCCGCGUGAAUGAAGAAGGCCUUCGGGUUGUAAAGUUCUUUCGGUGAUGAGGAAGGUUGGUGUGUUAAUAGCAUGCCAAAUUGACGUUAAAUACAGAAGAAGCACCGGCUAACUCCGUGCCAGCAGCCGCGGUAAUACGGGGGGUGCGAGCGUUAAUCGGAAUAACUGGGCGUAAAGGGCACGUAGGCGGACCUUUAAGUGAGGUGUGAAAUCCCCGGGCUUAACCUGGGAAUUGCAUUUCAUACUGGGGGUCUGGAGUACUUUAGGGAGGGGUAGAAUUCCACGUGUAGCGGUGAAAUGCGUAGAGAUGUGGAGGAAUACCGAAGGCGAAGGCAGCCCCUUGGGGAUGUACUGACGCUGAUGUGCGAAAGCGUGGGGAGCAAACAGGAUUAGAUACCCUGGUAGUCCACGCUGUAAACGGUGUCGAUUUGGGGAUUGGGGUUUAGCCCUGGUGCCCGAAGCUAACGUGAUAAAUCGACCGCCUGGGGAGUACGGCCGCAAGGUUAAAACUCAAAUGAAUUGACGGGGGCCCGCACAAGCGGUGGAGCAUGUGGUUUAAUUCGAUGCAACGCGAAGAACCUUACCUACUCUUGACAUCCGAAGAAGAACUCAGAGAUGGGUUUGUGCCUUAGGGAGCUUUGAGACAGGUGCUGCA